GGUUCUAAUCACGGUAUGGAUAAUUACUCACCAACACUCUCUGGUGAAGUCACUUAAGCUCGGUGCCUUCAGGCCUGAUCUGAAACCUGUUGCAUCAGUGGAAAGAUUCCCAUUGGUUCCAGUGUGCUAUUGAUCUUUCAUUUCUGCAUCUGCAAUAUUAGGCCAGUUGGAUUUCUCUAUUUUAUUUUAUUUGAUUUUUCUCUCUCUCUCUUUUUCUUUUUUUUUUUUUUUUUUUUUUUUAAGGAGAAGUUAAUGACAUAAAUUUGAUGUUUCUUUUUUUUUCAGUAAAGGUUUUGGUGCAUCUCUGAUGACAAAUGUGUUACAUCAGGGCCUCUUCCAGUGCAGAUCAGGAAAAAACACUUUCAAAAAACACGCGGUGUGGAGGUGGAAAAUUAGCUUUGCUCAUUUCACUUGUAAAUACAUAUUUGUCCCUGCUUUGCUAAGAAAGGGCCAACGGCAAUUUUGUCAGUUUUUUUGUGUGAGUAGGAUUCAGCCUUUGUAAUUUCUCUGUCUACAGGAAUAUCAUCAUUCACUGAUUUAGGAUCCUGAUUUUUUUUCUUCUUCUUUUAGUGAAUCACAUAUAUACUCUUCAUUGUUAUGGCAACUGAGGGAGCUGCAAAGCUCAAGGAUUUGAUGAAGGGCUGCAUGCCACCUUUCUUCUCCCAGGGCCUGCCCCAAACCUCUUGUUUGCAAUACAGUUCGUAUCAAGCUGAAGGGAUCUGCCUUCACUGGGUCAGUAAAAAGAACAAGUUCCCUCUAGACAAGUGUACUUCUGCCUUUCGUAUGGGCAGAUGCAAUUGGCAAUUGCUGUCCAUUUAUACUAAGGACCAACCCAACACUCUCUGAAGUCAAUAGUUAGACUCUGACCUAGCCUCACAAACAACAGGCAGACACCAUGUGAAUCCUUAAGCAGGGACAUUAACGUCCCUGACUUUGGCAGAGCAAGGUAGACUAGAAGGGAGUUUUCACUGCUGCUACCCAAGAGGUAGCUUGUUGUGGGCAAUAAAUGAGAUUUCAGUGACCUCAAGUAUCCAGCCACAACAAAAUUAAUUUAGAAACCCUUUCAUUUAAAAGGAGGGUUUCAGGACAUCUCCUACCUUAAAGAUCUGACAAGCAAAUGAAUCAGGCUCCCCAGGUUUUUUAAUUAUUUCUGUUGCAGCUUUAGUUAGUUUAUCAAUAACA
RNAcentral lists this long non-coding RNA (1182 nucleotides) under Strigops habroptila (Kakapo). RNAcentral describes it as "lncRNA (ENSSHBG00005008527.1)". Lineage: Eukaryota; Metazoa; Chordata; Aves; Psittaciformes; Psittacidae. The record is from RNAcentral.